AUAACUAAUGUUGUGUUCGUUUCCGCUGAUUUCACUGUUCACGUGUAUUUGUGAGCGAAGAAACGCUAUGAUUGUUGUGUUCGCUUCAGAGGAAAUGCAAGGAACGAUUUGCUGCGAUUUGCGGGAUGUAUCACUUUUUCAUCACCCGCAAUAAUGAAGAGAUUUGCAGGGAUUUACGGUGUAAUCUCUGAUUUACCCUUCUUCAACCUCUUGCUCCCAAAACCACACUUUCUCCUCUUCUGCCCCCAAAUCCAUCUCUUUCACUUCACUUUCGCCGCUGUAUUGCUGAAAGCCGUGAAAUUGAAGAUAGACUUUUGAGAUUCAAAU
Molecule: long non-coding RNA, 327 nt
Filed under: Vigna radiata
Lineage: Eukaryota; Viridiplantae; Streptophyta; Magnoliopsida; Fabales; Fabaceae
Description: long non-coding RNA (VRAD_LNC007631)
Source: RNAcentral